This 305-nucleotide ribosomal RNA is filed under the name uncultured bacterium. Its description in RNAcentral is "bacterial SSU rRNA". It matches the Rfam family "Bacterial small subunit ribosomal RNA", at positions 333 to 630 of the family's 1533-position model. The record is from RNAcentral.
UUUUUCCUACGGGGGGCAGCAGUAGGGAAUCUUCCACAAUGGGCGAAAGCCUGAUGGAGCCACUCCUCUUUUGUGAGGAAGGUCUUCGGAUCGUAAAACCCUGUUGUUAGAGAAGAAAGUGCGUGAGAGUAACUGUUCACGUUUCGACGGUAUCUAACCAGAAAGCCACGGCUAACUACGUGCCAGCAGCCGCGGUAAUACGUAGGUGGCAAGCGUUAUCCGGAUUUAUUGGGCGUAAAGGGAACGCAGGCGGUCUUUUAAGUCUGAUGUGAGAGCCUUCGGCUUAACCGGAGGAGUGCAUUGGA